Molecule: ribosomal RNA, 488 nt
Filed under: uncultured bacterium
Lineage: Bacteria
Description: bacterial SSU rRNA
Rfam family: Bacterial small subunit ribosomal RNA
Source: RNAcentral
CCGCAAUGGGCGAAAGCCUGACGGAGCAACGCCGCGUGAGGGAUGAAGGCCUCUGGGCUGUAAACCUCUUUUAUCAAGGAAGAAGAUCUGACGGUACUUGAUGAAUAAGCCACGGCUAAUUCCGUGCCAGCAGCCGCGGUAAUACGGGAGUGGCAAGCGUUAUCCGGAAUUAUUGGGCGUAAAGCGUCCGCAGGCGGCCCUACAAGUCUGCUGUUAAAAAGUGGAGCUUAACUCCAUCAUGGCAGUGGAAACUGAGGGGCUUGAGUGUGGUAGGGGCAGAGGGAAUUCCCGGUGUAGCGGUGAAAUGCGUAGAUAUCGGGAAGAACACCAGUGGCGAAGGCGCUCUGCUGGGCCAUCACUGACGCUCAUGGACGAAAGCCAGGGGAGCGAAAGGGAUUAGAUACCCCUGUAGUCCUGGCCGUAAACGAUGAACACUAGGUGUCGGGGGAAUCGACCCCUCCGGUGUCGUAGCCAACGCGUUAAGUGUC